Molecule: ribosomal RNA, 294 nt
Filed under: uncultured bacterium
Lineage: Bacteria
Description: partial 16S ribosomal RNA
Rfam family: Bacterial small subunit ribosomal RNA
Source: RNAcentral
AACGAACGCUGGCGGUAUGCUUAACACAUGCAAGUCGAACGAAUAACCUUGGAGCUUGCUUCAGGGAAGUUAGUGGCAAACGGGUGAGUAACGCGUGGGAAUCUACCCAUCAGUACGGAAUAACAUUUGGAAACAGAUGCUAAUACCGUAUAUUCUCUACGGAGGAAAGAUUUAUCGCUGAUGGAUGAGCCCGCGUAAGAUUAGGUAGUUGGUAGGGUAAUGGCCUACCAAGCCGACGAUCUUUAGCUGGUCUGAGAGGACGAUCAGCCACACUGGGACUGAGACACGGCCCAG